This 126-nucleotide ribosomal RNA is filed under the name Chinchilla lanigera (long-tailed chinchilla). Lineage: Eukaryota; Metazoa; Chordata; Mammalia; Rodentia; Chinchillidae. The record is from RNAcentral.
GUCUAUGGCCAUACCUCCUUGCACGCGCCUGAUCUCGUCUGAUCUUGAAAGCUAAGCAGGGUCGGACCUGGUUAGUGCUUGGAUGGGAAAUGCAGAUUUCAAGAGCUUUCUGUUCCUCCAUAGAUG